Molecule: transfer RNA, 73 nt
Filed under: Ornithorhynchus anatinus (platypus)
Lineage: Eukaryota; Metazoa; Chordata; Mammalia; Monotremata; Ornithorhynchidae
Rfam family: tRNA
About the family: Transfer RNA (tRNA) molecules are approximately 80 nucleotides in length. Their secondary structure includes four short double-helical elements and three loops (D, anti-codon, and T loops). Further hydrogen bonds mediate the characteristic L-shaped molecular structure. tRNAs have two regions of fundamental functional importance: the anti-codon, which is responsible for specific mRNA codon recognition, and the 3' end, to which the tRNAs corresponding amino acid is attached (by aminoacyl-tRNA synthetases). tRNAs cope with the degeneracy of the genetic code in two manners: having more than one tRNA (with a specific anti-codon) for a particular amino acid; and 'wobble' base-pairing, i.e. permitting non-standard base-pairing at the 3rd anti-codon position.
Source: Rfam by way of RNAcentral
AGCAGAGUAGCCUAGUGGAUAAAGCAUGAGCCUGGGAGCCAGAGGAACUGGGUUCAAAUCCCCAGCUCUGCCA